AGGAAGAGGUAUUGUCAGUGCAUCGAAGAGCCCCGAAGAUUUGGCUGACAAAUUAUUUUCAGCUUUCUUUUUCGGUUCCAAACGAAUUGUGACGUUAACUGAACAAGAUAUUGUCGGGAUUGACGCUCUACAGGCUUUGGC
This is a long non-coding RNA of Ostrinia nubilalis (European corn borer), 141 nucleotides long. RefSeq lists it as uncharacterized. Lineage: Eukaryota; Metazoa; Arthropoda; Insecta; Lepidoptera; Crambidae. The record is from RefSeq and is a predicted model, not a curated record. The transcript has 3 exons.